This 424-nucleotide unclassified non-coding RNA is filed under the name Hevea brasiliensis (rubber tree). The record is from RNAcentral. Lineage: Eukaryota; Viridiplantae; Streptophyta; Magnoliopsida; Malpighiales; Euphorbiaceae.
AGAUGGAACAGUCAUGAUGUGGGAUCUCUCAAGUGGACGUUGUAUUACUCCUUUGACCGGUCAUUCCUCUUGUGUGUGGUCACUUGCUUUUAGUGGUGAAGGUUCACUUCUUGCAUCGGGCUCUGCGGAUUGCACUGUAAAAUUAUGGGAUGUAACCACAAGCACCAGAGCGCCACUAAAAGAAGAGAACAAAUCUGGAGGUAACAAUAGGCUUCGGUUAUUGAAGACCCUACCUACCAAAGCUACACCAAUCUAUGCUUUGCACUUUUCACGAAGAAAUCUUUUAUUUGCUGCUGGAGCUUUCUCGAAAAGUGCACGAGUCCCUUGCUUUAAAGUCUCUUGACGUGAGAUUACAUCAUGGUUCCCUUGCAAAUUUUGGUGCAAUCAUCAAUGGCAAGUUUUACUUCUCAGACCUCGGUUUUGU